AAACUUUGUAGCAUCAUGUGUAGCAAUGAAUAUUCAUGGAAAAAGACUAAUUGUGUCAAAAUUCCAUUUGGAACUAAAAAGAGCAGAGGAUUAACCAGCCAGAAAAAAUCUACGAGUGGAGACAUCUGAACAUUUCUUCCAGAACCAUGGUGUGACUAGCCCCAUAUCCUGCAGUGAUGAUGGCCCGUCUACAGCUCAGCGUGGCUCUGCUCGCCCUCUUCUACUUCACCGCUGCGGCCUUGGACCUGGAGAGCAAGGCCCAAAUCAGAAAGGAGGUGACAGCCCUGGAGAAGGAGAAGCAGGGCAUCGCUCAGAGAUACGUGUCGACUCGUGGCCUCAGCUCAAGAGUCCUGGACAAAGGCCUGGCGCUGGUGGAGCAGAUGGAGGAGAUGGUGGAGGAGUACGGCCUGGAGGAGGAGUUCCCGUCCGUGGCCAAGUUCGUGGAGAAUUUAAAGAUCUAUUUGGAGGACACCAAGGACUUCACAACUGAACACAUGGCCGCACUGGUGGAUGAAUUUGGAGAUAAAGAGCGGGAAAUAAAGUCACUGCUACUAAAGCUGCUGGAGGGCUGAAAUUAUUAUUAUUAUUAUUAUUAUUAUUAUUAACUCAAAUGUUAAGAUGAUGUUUAUGUGUUGUUAAUAAAAAUAAAGUUGCCUG
This 657-nucleotide long non-coding RNA is filed under the name Neogobius melanostomus (round goby). RNAcentral's name for it is "lncRNA (ENSNMLG00000007923.1)". The record is from RNAcentral. Lineage: Eukaryota; Metazoa; Chordata; Actinopteri; Gobiiformes; Gobiidae.